RNAcentral lists this ribosomal RNA (442 nucleotides) under uncultured bacterium. Its description in RNAcentral is "partial 16S ribosomal RNA". It matches the Rfam family "Bacterial small subunit ribosomal RNA", at positions 338 to 795 of the family's 1533-position model. The record is from RNAcentral.
CCUACGGGAGGCAGCAGUGGGGGAUAUUGCACAAUGGGCGAAACCCUGAUGCAGCGACGCCGCGUGGGUGAAGAAGUACUUCGGUAUGUAAAGCCCUAUUAGUAGGGAAGAAGAAGUGACGGUACCACAGUAAGAAGCACCGCCUAAAUAAGUGACAGCAGCCGCGGUAAUACGUAGGCUGCAAGCGUUAUCCGGCGUUACUGGGGGUAAGGGUAGCGCAGGCUGGACGGGAAGCCUGAUGGGAACGCCCGCGGCUCAACCGGGGGAGUGCAGUGGGAAUUACCGGGCUGGAGUGCCGGAGAGGAAGGGGGAAUUCCAGGUGUAGCGGUGAAAUGCGUAGAUAUAAGGAAGAACACCAGUGGCGAAGGCGGCCUUCUGGACGGUGACUGACGCUGAGGCUCGAAAGCGUGGGGAGCAAACAGGAUUAGAUACCCCAGUAGUC